AGUGAACGCUGGCGGCAGGCCUAACACAUGCAAGUCGAGCGGCAGCGCGGGGGCAACCCUGGCGGCGAGCGGCGGACGGGUGAGGAAUUCGUCGGAAUCUGCCUUUUUGUGGGGGAUAACGUAGGGAAACUUACGCUAAUACCGCAUACGUCCUACGGGAGAAAGUGGGGGACCGCAAGGCCUCACGCAGAAAGAUGAGCCGACGACCGAUUAGCUAGUUGGUGGGGUAAAGGCCCACCAAGGCGACGAUCGGUAGCUGGUCUGAGAGGAUGAUCAGCCACACUGGGACUGAGACACGGCCCAGACUCCUACGGGAGGCAGCAGUGGGGAAUAUUGGACAAUGGGCGCAAGCCUGAUCCAGCCAUGCCGCGUGUGUGAAGAAGGCCUUCGGGUUGUAAAGCACUUUUGUCCGGAAAGAAAUGCCUGGAGCUAAGACCUUCGGGGGAUGACGGUACCGGAAGAAUAAGCACCGGCUAACUUCGUG
RNAcentral lists this ribosomal RNA (484 nucleotides) under uncultured bacterium. RNAcentral describes it as "partial 16S ribosomal RNA". It matches the Rfam family "Bacterial small subunit ribosomal RNA", at positions 30 to 507 of the family's 1533-position model. The record is from RNAcentral.